UGCCUACACAUGCAAGUCGAACGGCAGCACAGGUAGCAAUACCGGGUGGCGAGUGGCGGACGGGUGAGGAAUACAUCGGGACCUGCCCAGUACGUGGGGGAUAACGUAGGGAAACUUACGCUAAUACCGCAUACGUCCUACGGGAGAAAGCGGGGGAUCGCAAGACCUCGCGCGGUUGGAUGGACCGAUGUUCGAUUAGCUAGUUGGUGGGGUAAUGGCUCACCAAGGCGACGAUCGAUAGCUGGUCUGAGAGGAUGAUCAGCCACACUGGGACUGAGACACGGCCANCACUCCUACUAGAGGCAGCAGUGGGGAAUAUUGGACAAUGGGCGCAAGCCUGAUCCAGCAAUGCCGCGUGUGUGAAGAAGGCCUUCGGGUUGUAAAGCACUUUUAUCAGGAGCGAAAUACCACGGGCUAAUACUCUGUGGGGCUGACGGUACCUGAGGAAUAAGCACCGGCUAACUUCGUGCC
RNAcentral lists this ribosomal RNA (471 nucleotides) under Dyella koreensis. Its description in RNAcentral is "bacterial SSU rRNA". It matches the Rfam family "Bacterial small subunit ribosomal RNA", at positions 45 to 509 of the family's 1533-position model. Lineage: Bacteria; Pseudomonadati; Pseudomonadota; Gammaproteobacteria; Lysobacterales; Rhodanobacteraceae. The record is from RNAcentral.